RNAcentral lists this ribosomal RNA (253 nucleotides) under uncultured bacterium. RNAcentral describes it as "partial 16S ribosomal RNA". It matches the Rfam family "Bacterial small subunit ribosomal RNA", at positions 524 to 776 of the family's 1533-position model. The record is from RNAcentral.
UACGUAGGGUGCAAGCGUUGUCCGGAAUUAUUGGGCGUAAAGAGCUCGUAGGCGGUCUGUUGCGUCGGCUGUGAAAACCCGAGGCUCAACCUCGGGUCUGCAGUCGAUACGAGCAAACUAGAGUGUUGCAGGGGAGACUGGAAUUCCUGGUGUAGCGGUGAAAUGCGCAGAUAUCAGGAGGAACACCGGUGGCGAAGGCGGGUCUCUGGGCAACAACUGACGCUGAGGAGCGAAAGCAUGGGGAGCGAACAGG